Regulatory RNA element from Astyanax mexicanus (Mexican tetra), 54 nucleotides. It matches the Rfam family "UnaL2 LINE 3' element". From Rfam's summary of the family: The eel long interspersed element (LINE) UnaL2 and its partner short interspersed element (SINE) share a conserved 3' tail containing a stem-loop that is critical for their retrotransposition. Presumably, the first step of retrotransposition is the recognition of their 3' tails by UnaL2-encoded reverse transcriptase. Lineage: Eukaryota; Metazoa; Chordata; Actinopteri; Characiformes; Acestrorhamphidae. The record is from Rfam.
AAUAAUCAUUAUUGUAAGUCGCUUUGGACAAAAGCGUCUGCCAAAUGAAAUGUA